CUUGGGCCGCUUGAGAUCCUCCUCCUCGGCGUCGGCGGCGGCAGCGGCGGCGUUGUCCCUGAACUUGGCGUAGAUGUCUCCCUUGUAGAACUUCCUGGUCCGCCACACGAGCACCAGCGACACGAGCGCCCCGGCCACCGUGGCGGCGGUGAUGAUGAGGAACGCCUUGCGGAAGCACUGCACGCCGAUGCAGGUCUUGUCGCCGCCGGCGAGGGACCCGCCGUGCUGCCUGGCGGCCUCGGCGUCGUAGAGCCCGCCGGCGACGCGGACGUUGAGCACGUAGGCGCCGAUGGGGCUCGCGACGGACCCGAAGUUGUAGAG
RNAcentral lists this long non-coding RNA (321 nucleotides) under Setaria italica (foxtail millet). RNAcentral describes it as "long non-coding RNA (SITA_LNC006412)". The record is from RNAcentral. Lineage: Eukaryota; Viridiplantae; Streptophyta; Magnoliopsida; Poales; Poaceae.